RNAcentral lists this long non-coding RNA (654 nucleotides) under Mus musculus (house mouse). RNAcentral's name for it is "predicted gene, 40608". The record is from RNAcentral. Lineage: Eukaryota; Metazoa; Chordata; Mammalia; Rodentia; Muridae.
AAGAAAGGGAAAGCCGGUCCUGGUGCUGGAAAUGGAAGAAGCCCAGCUUCCCUUUUUCGGGUGAAAGUGGAAAUGGAAGAUCUGGGUUCAUGUGGACAUCUGGGUGGCGGCAUGGGCAUGCCUUUCUCUGGCCACCGGUGUGCAUCACACAGAAGUCCCAAGAAGCCAGGGAGUUCCCGUUUCAUCAUGUGUGCUUAAGGCAGCUAGCAUCUCCAUCACCUGUGUUUUAGAGCUAUCAAGAAGCUACAAAAAUAUGGAGAAAGAAGCAAGCAGCUGCUAACUGGAUGAAAGACAUAAAAGGGAACAGAUAAUCGGCUUUAAUGUCUGAUGCAUCGGAUUUAUUUAUGGACUCUGUAGUUAUUUAACAACGUUUGGAUUAGAAGGCCUACCUUUUAUCUUCAGUUCAUGAAGCACAAUUAAACCCGUGUUUAAUUCUCUGUCUAAUCACAUGUAAAAAUGGUGCGUAACAACAGGAUCACAGCUUCUCACUCCACCAAAGACUUCACAAACCCGUGGCCACCGUGAAAAUAGAAACAAUGGAAUCAACCCGCAAGUGCUUAUUGUGUUUCACGGUCUCUCUCGCCUUGUAGCCCAGACGGAACUGCUGGAACUAAACCUCCUGACUCAGCCUCCAGAGUGCAAGUCUGAAUGCAG